UACGUAGGGGGCAAGCGUUGUCCGGACUUAUUGGGCGUAAAGAGCGUGUAGGCGGUUUGGUAGGUCCGCUGUGAAAACUCGAGGCUCAACCUCGAGACGCCGGUGGAAACCAUCAGACUAGAGUCCGGAAGAGGAGAGUGGAAUUCCUGGUGUAGCGGUGAAAUGCGCAGAUAUCAGGAAGAACACCCGUGGCUAAGGCGGCUCUCUAGUACGGUACUGACGCUGAGACGCGAAAGCGUGGGGAGCGAACAGG
RNAcentral lists this ribosomal RNA (253 nucleotides) under uncultured bacterium. RNAcentral's name for it is "partial 16S ribosomal RNA". It matches the Rfam family "Bacterial small subunit ribosomal RNA", at positions 524 to 776 of the family's 1533-position model. The record is from RNAcentral.